Molecule: ribosomal RNA, 426 nt
Filed under: uncultured bacterium
Lineage: Bacteria
Description: bacterial SSU rRNA
Rfam family: Bacterial small subunit ribosomal RNA
Source: RNAcentral
GUGAGGAAUUUUCCGCAAUGGGCGAAAGCCUAACGGAGCAAUGCCGCGUGAAGGAUGAAGGCCUAUGGGUUGUAAACUUCUUUUCUCAGAAAAGAAUUAUGACGGUAUCUGAGGAAUAAGCAUCGGCUAACUCUGUGCCAGCAGCCGCGGUAAGACAGAGGAUGCAAGCGUUAUCCGGAAUGAUUGGGCGUAAAGCGUCUGUAGGUUGUUUAAAAAGUAUUCUGUCAAAGAUUAGGGCUUAACCCUAGAUAGGCAGAAUAAACUUUUAAGCUAGAGUUUGGUAGAGGCAGAGGGAAUUCCCGGUGGAGCGGUGAAAUGCGUAGAUAUCGGGAGGAACACCAAAGGCGAAGGCACUCUGCUGGGCCAAUACUAACACUGAGAGACGAAAGCGAGGGGAGCAAAUGGGAUUAGAAACCCUAGUAGUCC